AUACGGAGGGGGCAAGCGUCGUUCGGAAUUACUGGGCGUAAAGAGUACGUAGGCGGAUCGUUAAGUUAGAGGUGAAAUCCCAGGGCUCAACCCUGGAACUGCCUUUAAUACUGGCGAUCUAGAGAUCGAGAGAGGUGAGUGGAAUUUCCAGUGUAGAGGUGAAAUUCGUAGAUAUUGGAAAGAACACCAGUUGCGAAGGCGGCUCACUGGCUCGAUACUGACGCUGAGGUACGAAAGCGUGGGGAGCAAACAGGAUUAGAAACCCUAGUAGUCC
Molecule: ribosomal RNA, 274 nt
Filed under: uncultured bacterium
Lineage: Bacteria
Description: partial 16S ribosomal RNA
Rfam family: Bacterial small subunit ribosomal RNA
Source: RNAcentral